AGUAAAUAUAAAACAUGAGUAUAUUUUAUAUUUACUGAUACAUGUAGAUACAUUGAUUGAUAAAGCUCAAUGAUACGGUGGCAUAAUCAGGACACGCAAAUAUUAUUACUGGGUAGUAACUACGUCGAACACUCGACAUAAAUAUCUCAUGCGCUCGGCAUCAGUGUAGACCAUUACGUAAAUAUCAAGAUCACUGUCAUGAUCGUGUGCAGGAUUGGACAAAACAAGAUGGCAGACGGCAUUUCCAAACAAAGAUACAAUCAGGAGCGGACUUCCUUAAGCUUAAAAGUUGCAAGUGAAUGAAGUGUGUUCUAUUUUAUGUCUCCUACUAAAACCAUAGUUUUGAUAAACCUAAAAGAGCACAUGGAGCAAGGAACUAUCAGUAAGCCGGAAGAGCCAGCUCGGAAAUCUUUAAGUGUUUGAGAAUUUCACCGCGCACAUGAAUCUAAAGUUCUGCCAUACGUUAGAAGGAGCCUUGUUCUCGAAGAUCAACAUGUUGAAAAGUCUUCAUUUUGCAGAAGCAAAUACAUUUAUAUUGUAUAUACACAUGUAGACCAUGUUCGAUUCCCAACCACUUAACAUUUGUGAUAUCUGCAUGGAAUUAUUAAAACUGAGCAUGGUUUGACGUAUAAUAAUCUCUUCAGGCAUGAUGGUUUACAUUUCACAAAGCUGUUCAAUGACAAUAAAGACUAUAAGAUGU
This is a long non-coding RNA of Ostrea edulis (European flat oyster), 700 nucleotides long. RefSeq lists it as uncharacterized. The transcript is spliced from 2 exons. Lineage: Eukaryota; Metazoa; Mollusca; Bivalvia; Ostreida; Ostreidae. The record is from RefSeq and is a predicted model, not a curated record.